This 252-nucleotide ribosomal RNA is filed under the name uncultured bacterium. RNAcentral describes it as "partial 16S ribosomal RNA". It matches the Rfam family "Bacterial small subunit ribosomal RNA", at positions 524 to 776 of the family's 1533-position model. The record is from RNAcentral.
UACGUAGGUCCCGAGCGUUGUCCGGAUUUAUUGGGCGUAAAGCGAGCGCAGGUGGUUUAUUAAGUCUGGUGUAAAAGGCAGUGGCUCAACCAUUGUAUGCAUUGGAAACUGGUAGACUUGAGUGCAGGAGAGGAGAGUGGAAUUCCAUGUGUAGCGGUGAAAUGCGUAGAUAUAUGGAGGAACACCGGUGGCGAAAGCGGCUCUCUGGCCUGUAACUGACGCUGAGGCACGAAGGCCGGGGGAGUGAAAGGG